GGGAGUGUUCCCGGGACAGCCGGGGGCGGGGGGAGUGUUCCCGGGACAGCCCGAGGUUCCAGCGAGCAGCCCUGGCCACGCCUUUGUCUCCGUGGGACCCCAGACUGGCCCCUUCCCGCCGUGGUCCCGUGACCUGACCCGGCCUUGAGCGGGGCGGGGGCGGCAGGACCCUCAGGUCUCUCCGCAGGAUGGCAGCGGGGGAGUGAGGCAGCCAGGUAUCCACAGACGGCUCCAUGUGCCCCACGGCACACACAAAAUAAACACCUUCAAAUUGAGCCAAGUACCCGGGGCAGGUGUGGAGUGUCUGCUGAGGCGAAGGCACUGCGGCUCCCUGGGGACACUCGUGGCCUCUCCAGGUUACUACAGAUGGGGGACAGCGGGUCCUUUGGAUUGAUCGCAGAGUUGAACAACAGAGAAUGUGUGCACAGUGCCAGGCACAGGUGUGGUCAAGAUUCACCUGGGAGAGGAAGUGGGCAGGGGCAGAGGAG
This 488-nucleotide long non-coding RNA is filed under the name Homo sapiens (human). RNAcentral describes it as "HSALNT0000634". The record is from RNAcentral. Lineage: Eukaryota; Metazoa; Chordata; Mammalia; Primates; Hominidae.